CAUACUAAGCCUGCUAAUCAAUUUUCCCAAGCUACUCUCUGAUUUUUUCAGCCUGCUUUUGCAAGAGCUUUGUCAUGGCGUUCCAUAGUACCACUCAUCUGGAAUAUUUCCAAAUUUAGCAGGUUGGUGAUAUAUCUCUGCUCAAGUGGAGGUAUCUGUUUCUGAUUUAUUAACAUUUGAUCCCCUGGUUUCCUGCCAUUGAUCAAGACUAAUACUCAGCUCAGCUGAUGAGUUUUAUAUGAAAUCUGAUAUUACAGGAAGAAAGAAAAGAACAAAACAUUUGACUCUUGGGAAAAGCAAAAGCGGUGCCCUCUGAUGCCUUCAUGUAUUAUAAGACUUGGACCUGACUACCAAUGAUUAUACACAGAUAAAUACUUCUACCAAUGCUCCAAUUGUACUGCUGGUCUUCCCAGUCACGUUCAACACUAAGGAAAGCCUGAACACUGAAAUACUUUCUCUCUGCUGGGUGUUGGAAAAACUAGAAUAGAGCAGCAAGAGUGCAGCAGCAUCCUGCCACCAGCCACGGGGUUUUGUCUUUAAAACAGGACUGGACUGAGCAGUACCAUGGGCAAGAGGUAACUGGUAGCUUCUUGGGACUCAUCUGAUGAGAGGAUGGCUUUUUAAAAUAUUUUUAUGAUGGAGGUAUUGUUUACAAAAUAUAGUGUUGAGAAAUCAAUGGCUUUGUUUGCACUUUUAUUUCCAAAAUAAUUCAUUUUUAUUUACUU
This is a non-coding RNA of Lonchura striata (white-rumped munia), 725 nucleotides long. Lineage: Eukaryota; Metazoa; Chordata; Aves; Passeriformes; Estrildidae. The record is from RefSeq and is a predicted model, not a curated record.